This is a non-coding RNA of Dichotomopilus funicola, 85 nucleotides long. NCBI's taxonomy places the organism in Eukaryota, Fungi, Ascomycota, Sordariomycetes, Sordariales, Chaetomiaceae. The record is from the annotation of a RefSeq genome assembly.
GGUUGUGUAGUGUAGCGGUUAUCACUCCGGAUUCUGAUUACAUCAGAACAUUCCGGCAACCCCGGUUCGAUUCCGGGCACGACCU